CACAAUGCGGUAUGGGUUGUG
This 21-nucleotide non-coding RNA is filed under the name Arabidopsis thaliana (thale cress). The record is from RNAcentral. Lineage: Eukaryota; Viridiplantae; Streptophyta; Magnoliopsida; Brassicales; Brassicaceae.